Transfer RNA from Dichomitus squalens LYAD-421 SS1, 79 nucleotides. It matches the Rfam family "tRNA". Rfam says of the family: Transfer RNA (tRNA) molecules are approximately 80 nucleotides in length. Their secondary structure includes four short double-helical elements and three loops (D, anti-codon, and T loops). The record is from Rfam. Lineage: Eukaryota; Fungi; Basidiomycota; Agaricomycetes; Polyporales; Polyporaceae.
GGCUGCCUGGCGUAAUGGCAACGCGUCUGACUACGAUUGAGUAAUCAGGAGAUUGCAGGUUCGACCCCUGCGGUGGUCA